RNAcentral lists this non-coding RNA (91 nucleotides) under Pseudomonas sp. 29. Lineage: Bacteria; Pseudomonadati; Pseudomonadota; Gammaproteobacteria; Pseudomonadales; Pseudomonadaceae. The record is from RNAcentral.
CCUUAUGGUGUCCAUGCGUGGGGCUUCUUCGUGAGCGCCGGGGUUUGCUGGUUUUGACCGGUCUACCAACCUGCGUAUGGCCACCACCCUU